GACGAACGCUGGCGGCGUGCUUAACACAUGCAAGUCGAACGGAAAGGCCCUGCUUUUGUGGGGUGCUCGAGUGGCGAACGGGUGAGUAACACGUGAGUAACCUGCCCUUGACUUUGGGAUAACUUCAGGAAACUGGGGCUAAAACCGGAUAGGAGCUCCUGCUGCAUGGUGGGGGUUGGAAAGUUUCGGCGGUUGGGGAUGGACUCGCGGCUUAUCAGCUUGUUGGUGGGGUAGUGGCUUACCAAGGCUUUGACGGGUAGCCGGCCUGAGAGGGUGACCGGCCACAUUGGGACUGAGAUACGGCCCAGACUCCUACGGGAGGCAGCAGUGGGGAAUAUUGCACAAUGGGCGGAAGCCUGAUGCAGCAACGCCGCGUGCGGGAUGACGGCCUUCGGGUUGUAAACCGCUUUCGCCUGUGGCGAAGCGUGAGUGACGGUAAUGGGUAAAGAAGCACCGGCUAACUACGUG
This 468-nucleotide ribosomal RNA is filed under the name uncultured bacterium. RNAcentral's name for it is "partial 16S ribosomal RNA". It matches the Rfam family "Bacterial small subunit ribosomal RNA", at positions 28 to 507 of the family's 1533-position model. The record is from RNAcentral.